GGAGAGGUGGCAGAGUCCGGUUGAAUGCGUCCGAUUCGAAAUCGGAUGUCCCGCCAAAAGCGGGACCCUGGGUUCAAAUCCCAGCUUCUCCG
Molecule: transfer RNA, 92 nt
Filed under: Candidatus Omnitrophota bacterium
Lineage: Bacteria; Pseudomonadati; Candidatus Omnitrophota
Description: tRNA-Ser
Rfam family: tRNA
About the family: Transfer RNA (tRNA) molecules are approximately 80 nucleotides in length.
Source: RNAcentral